GUCUCACAUAAUCAAUGGUCACCUUCACCUAGCUUGUGAUGUCCAUUUUCCAUAUUCAUCUCAGCCUUUGGACCAUCGCAAGACUAUGAAGCUUUACUGUUCCCUAGGAUUGGCUUUGGGAUUUUCCUUCGCAGCUUAGGUGGAAGGCGAAGAAGGCCCCUUUCUGGGGGGCCCGAGUCAUCAGUGAGAUACCACUCUGGAAGAGCUUGGAUUCUAACCUUGUGUCAGACCCACGGGCCAAGGGGUAGUCUAAGGUAGACAGUUUCUAUGGGGCAUAGGCAUCCCAAAAGGUAACAGAGGCGUGCAAAGGUUUCAUCGGGCCAGGGGGACAUUGGUCCUCGAGUGCAAAGGCAGAAGGGAGCUUGACUGCAAGACUCACCCAUCGAGCAGAGACGAAAGUUGGCCUUAGUGAUCCGACGGUGCCAAGUGGAAGGGUCGUCGCUCAACGGAUAAAAGUUACUCUAGGGAUAACAUGCAGAUGUUCCCUAAGAGUCCACAUCGACAGGAAGGUUUGAGACGUCGAUGUCGACUCUUCUCCACCUGGAGUUGUAGGUGGUUCUAAGGGUUGGGUUGUUUGCCCAUUAAUGUAGUACGUGAGCUGGGUUCAGAAUGUCGUGACAGUUCGGUCCAUAUCUGGUGUGGGCGUUAGAGCAUUGAGAGGACCUUUCCCUAGUACGAGAGGACCAGGAAGGACGCACCUCUGGUGUACCAGUUAUCGUGUCUACGGUAAACACUGGGUAGCCAAGUGUUGAUAGGAUAACUGUUGAAAGCAUAUAAGUAGUAAGCCCACCCCAAGAUUAGUGCUCUCUCCUCUGACUUCCCUAGAGCCUCCGGUAGCACAACCGAGACAGCAACGGGUUCUCCACCCAUACGGGGAUGGAGCGACAGAAGUAUGGAAAUAGGAUAAGGUAGCGGUGAGACGAGUCGUUUAAAUAGGUGUCAAGUGAAAGUGCAGUGAUGUAUGUAGCUGAGGCAUCCUAACGAACAAACUAUUUGAACCUU
This is a non-coding RNA of Zea mays, 1002 nucleotides long. The record is from Rfam. NCBI's taxonomy places the organism in Eukaryota, Viridiplantae, Streptophyta, Magnoliopsida, Poales, Poaceae.